UUGACCUCGGAUCAGGUAGGAAGACCCGCUGAACUUAAGCAUAUCAAUAAGCGGAGGAAAAGAAACCAACAGGGAUUGCCCUAGUAACGGCGAGUGAAGCGGCAACAGCUCAAAUUUGAAAUCUGGCUUCGGCCCGAGUUGUAAUUUGCAGAGGAAGCUUUAGGCGCGGCACCUUCUGAGUCCCCUGGAACGGGGCGCCAUAGAGGGUGAGAGCCCCGUAUAGUUGGAUGCCUAGCCUGUGUAAAGCUCCUUCGACGAGUCGAGUAGUUUGGGAAUGCUGCUCAAAAUGGGAGGUAAAUUUCUUCUAAAGCUAAAUACCGGCCAGAGACCGAUAGCGCACAAGUAGAGUGAUCGAAAGAUGAAAAGCACUUUGAAAAGAGGGUUAAAUAGCACGUGAAAUUGUUGAAAGGGAAGCGCUUGUGACCAGACUUGCGCCGGGCGGAUCAUCCGGUGUUCUCACCGGUGCACUCCGCCCGGCUCAGGCCAGCAUCGGUUCUCGCGGGGGGAUAAAGGUCCUGGGAACGUAGCUCCUCCGGGAGUGUUAUAGCCCGGGGCGUAAUGCCCUCGCGGGGACCGAGGUUCGCGCAUCUGCAAGGAUGCUGGCGUAAUGGUCAUCAGCGAC
Molecule: ribosomal RNA, 622 nt
Filed under: Chaetomium globosum
Lineage: Eukaryota; Fungi; Ascomycota; Sordariomycetes; Sordariales; Chaetomiaceae
Also listed under: 3 other names
Description: eukaryotic LSU rRNA
Rfam family: Eukaryotic large subunit ribosomal RNA
Source: RNAcentral